RNAcentral lists this ribosomal RNA (258 nucleotides) under uncultured bacterium. Its description in RNAcentral is "partial 16S ribosomal RNA". It matches the Rfam family "Bacterial small subunit ribosomal RNA", at positions 524 to 779 of the family's 1533-position model. The record is from RNAcentral.
UACGGAGGGUGCGAGCGUUGUCCGGAAUCACUGGGCGUAAAGGGCGCGUAGGCGGCGCGGAUAGUCGGCGGUGAAAGCCCGGAGCUCAACUCCGGGUCGGCCGUCGAUACUUCCGGGCUUGAGCACUGUAGAGGCAGAUGGAAUUCCGGGUGUAGCGGUGGAAUGCGUAGAGAUCCGGAAGAACACCGGUGGCGAAGGCGGUCUGCUGGGCAGUUGCUGACGCUGAUGCGGCGACAGCGGUGGGGAGCAAACGAGGAU